GACGAACGCUGGCGGCGUGCUUAACACAUGCAAGUCGAACGGAAAGGCCCCCAUCUUGGUGGGGGUGCUCGAGUGGCGAACGGGUGAGUAACACGUGGGUGAUCUGCCCUGUACUUCGGGAUAAGCUUGGGAAACUGGGUCUAAUACCGGAUAGGACCAUGGUUUAGUGUCUCAUGGUGGAAAGAUUAUUGUUUUGGUGCAGGAUGAGCUCGCGGCCUAUCAGCUUGUUGGUGGUGUAAUGGCCUACCAAGGCGUCGACGGGUAGCCGGCCUGAGAGGGUGGACGGCCACAUUGGGACUGAGAUACGGCCCAGACUCCUACGGGAGGCAGCAGUGGGGAAUAUUGCACAAUGGGCGCAAGCCUGAUGCAGCGACGCCGCGUGGGGGAUGACGGCCUUCGGGUUGUAAACUCCUUUCGUUAGGGACGAAGCCACGCUUUUGGGGUGUGGUGACGGUACCUUUGUGAAGAAGCACCGGCUAACUACGUG
Molecule: ribosomal RNA, 487 nt
Filed under: uncultured bacterium
Lineage: Bacteria
Description: partial 16S ribosomal RNA
Rfam family: Bacterial small subunit ribosomal RNA
Source: RNAcentral